Molecule: ribosomal RNA, 332 nt
Filed under: uncultured bacterium
Lineage: Bacteria
Description: bacterial SSU rRNA
Rfam family: Bacterial small subunit ribosomal RNA
Source: RNAcentral
UGUGUAGGCGGCCGUGCAAGUCGGAUGUGAAAGCCCCGGGCUCAACCCGGGAAGUGCACCCGAAACUGCAAGGCUCGAGUACCGGAGAGGUUGGUGGAAUUCUCGGUGUAGAGGUGAAAUUCGUAGAUAUCGAGAGGAACACCGGUGGCGAAGGCGGCCAACUGGACGAGUACUGACGCUGAGACACGAAAGCGUGGGGAGCAAACAGGAUUAGAUACCCUGGUAGUCCACGCCGUAAACGAUGGGUGCUAGGUGUCACGGGCUUUGACUCCUGUGGUGCCGUAGCCAACGCAUUAAGCACCCCGCCUGGGAAGUACGGCCGCAAGGCUAAA